UGCAACUCUGUAGGAGUUGAAGACCAGCAACUCAGUUCAGCUGGUGUUUCCUUACACAGUCCAGCAAAUGAUAAAGAUAACCUGUUGUACCAUCUGCUGGAAAGGUAUUACCUAGCAACAGAGAGUGUUUGUUUUCCAUUUCCUUCAGGCUUCCAAACUUUUUUCACCUGUCUCGGGUAUCGUUGCCUUCGUUACCAAUCAUUCUUGCAGUAUGUUGAGCGAGAGGUAUUUCAACUCACCCCAGAAUUUGUACGUAAAUUCUUUGCUGAACUUCCAGAUGAUGAAAUACAUUCUGAAAGGAAACAUGAUAUUUUAAUCCAGUUGCCACAGUCUGACGCUUUAGAGAUAAUAGAGGACUGGAAGCAUCCAUUUGCCCUGAGGUACCUAGCUCAGCAGUACGUUGAAGAAACACUCAAACCCGACAGCUGUUUGGAAUAUCCGUUUUAUUUAAACAGAGAAACUGCUAUUG
Anneissia japonica is the source of this 469-nucleotide long non-coding RNA. RefSeq lists it as uncharacterized. The record is from RefSeq and is a predicted model, not a curated record. Lineage: Eukaryota; Metazoa; Echinodermata; Crinoidea; Comatulida; Comatulidae. The transcript is spliced from 5 exons.